This 71-nucleotide transfer RNA is filed under the name Camelus bactrianus (Bactrian camel). It matches the Rfam family "tRNA". From Rfam's summary of the family: Transfer RNA (tRNA) molecules are approximately 80 nucleotides in length. Their secondary structure includes four short double-helical elements and three loops (D, anti-codon, and T loops). Lineage: Eukaryota; Metazoa; Chordata; Mammalia; Artiodactyla; Camelidae. The record is from Rfam by way of RNAcentral. RNAcentral also lists the same sequence under 2 other names.
GAGGGUAGAGCUCAGUGGCAGAGCGCAUGCUUAGCAUGCAUGAGGUCCUGGGUUCAAUCCCUGGUACCUCA